GACGAACGCUGGCGGCGUGCUUAACACAUGCAAGUCGAACGGAAAGGCCCUGCUUUUGUGGGGUGCUCGAGUGGCGAACGGGUGAGUAACACGUGAGUAACCUGCCCUUGACUUUGGGAUAACUUCAGGAAACUGGGGCUAAUACCGGAUAGGAGCUCCUGCUGCAUGGUGGGGGUUGGAAAGUUUCGGCGGUUGGGGAUGGACUCGCGGCUUAUCAGCUUGUUGGUGGGGUAGUGGCUUACCAAGGCUUUGACGGGUAGCCGGCCUGAGAGGGUGACCGGCCCCAUGGGGCUGGGGUACGGGCCAGACUCCUACGGGGGGGAGGAGUGGGGGAUAUUGCACAAUGGGCGGAAGCCUGAUGCAGCAACGCCGCGUGCGGGAUGACGGCCUUCGGGUUGUAAACCGCUUUCGCCUGUGACGAAGCGUGAGUGACGGUAAUGGGUAAAGAAGCACCGGCUAACUACGUG
This 467-nucleotide ribosomal RNA is filed under the name uncultured bacterium. RNAcentral describes it as "partial 16S ribosomal RNA". It matches the Rfam family "Bacterial small subunit ribosomal RNA", at positions 28 to 507 of the family's 1533-position model. The record is from RNAcentral.